CCUACGGGAGGCAGCAGUGAGGAAUAUUGGUCAAUGGGCGCGAGCCUGAACCAGCCAAGUAGCGUGAAGGAUGACUGCCCUACGGGUUGUAAACUUCUUUUAUAAAGGAAUAAAGUGAGGCACGUGUGCCCUUUUGUAUGUACUUUAUGAAUAAGGAUCGGCUAACCUCGUGCCAACAGCCGCGGUAAUACGGAGGAUCCGAGCGUUACCCGGAUUUAUUGGGUUUAAAGGGAGCGUAGAUGGGUUGUUAAGUCAGUUGUGAAAGUUUGGGGCUCAACCGUAAAAUUGCAAUUGAUACUGGCAGCCUUGAGUACAGUAGAGGUAGGCGGAAUUCGUGGUGUAGCGGUGAAAUGCUUAGAUAUCACGAAGAACUCCGAUGGCGAAGGCAGCCUACUAGACUGCCACUGACGUUGAUGCUCGAAAGUGUGGGUAUCAAACAGGAUUAGAUACCCCUGUAGUC
RNAcentral lists this ribosomal RNA (460 nucleotides) under uncultured bacterium. RNAcentral's name for it is "partial 16S ribosomal RNA". It matches the Rfam family "Bacterial small subunit ribosomal RNA", at positions 338 to 795 of the family's 1533-position model. The record is from RNAcentral.